Thunnus maccoyii (southern bluefin tuna) is the source of this 705-nucleotide long non-coding RNA. RefSeq lists it as uncharacterized. The record is from RefSeq and is a predicted model, not a curated record. Lineage: Eukaryota; Metazoa; Chordata; Actinopteri; Scombriformes; Scombridae. The transcript has 3 exons.
GAAUUAGACUUACAAAUAUAUAAAUCUCCAAGACAAAUUUACUCUUAAAAGUAAAAUGUGUAUUUCUUUUCAAUUUCCUUCACUUUUUGACAGUGUUGUACACUUCGAAAUUUAAACCCAGAUGCUCCCUUGUUCUCUUGUUUGCAGUGAUUAAUACAAGAAGUCACACCGACCACUGCUAGAAAUGCAGACUUCAGUGAAUAUGAGCAAAGAACUCGCCUCACAUAGACAUCUGAAAUAUUGUGAGCUCAGUCUUCACUAGGAGACUAGGAGUCUUUAAAACUGCUAGACCCAGACGCCCUUUUACGGGGAUUGCCAGGGUGUUUACAUAUGCUAAUUAGGCUCACCUGACACGCACAUCUAAUGUACAUCAUCAUCAUCAUCAUCAUCAACAUCAUUAUAAGAACACAGGUGCAAACAAUUCUGUGGUUUAAGAACAUGUCAUGAAUCUGAUGUAGACUUUUCUUAGGACCUUCCUCAAGAACAAAUCGAGCCUGUAUGAGGGUCAUCUGUGUUUGAAGGAGUCUUUACAGGACGCUCAGGAAUUAAAAGACAAGAGCUACAAAAGCCUCAGAGUUGGAGUAUUGGUGACAGUAAACACGAGGAGAUGUCCGAUACGCCAACGUUUCAGAGCACCUCCACAGAGGAGACAAAGCUUUUCCUCCGACUACAAUCUGGAAGGAAAGUAAAAGAUCUUCAGACAUU